UACGUAGGGGGCGAGCGUUGUCCGAAGUUACUGGGCGUAAAGCGCGCGUAGGCGGUUUCUUAAGUCUGGGGUGAAAGGUUCAGCGCUCAACGCGAACAGUGCCUUGGAUACUGGGAGACUUGAGUCUGGGAGGGGGCAGUGGAAUUCCUGGUGUAGCGGUGAAAUGCGUAGAUAUCAGGAGGAACACCGGUGGCGAAGGCGGAUCUCUGGGCCUUACCUGACGCUCAGGUGCGAAAGCUAGGGGAGUGAACAGG
Molecule: ribosomal RNA, 254 nt
Filed under: uncultured bacterium
Lineage: Bacteria
Description: partial 16S ribosomal RNA
Rfam family: Bacterial small subunit ribosomal RNA
Source: RNAcentral